This is a long non-coding RNA of Sapajus apella (tufted capuchin), 480 nucleotides long. RefSeq lists it as uncharacterized. The transcript has 4 exons. NCBI's taxonomy places the organism in Eukaryota, Metazoa, Chordata, Mammalia, Primates, Cebidae. The record is from RefSeq and is a predicted model, not a curated record.
UUACCUAAAUCAUGCUCUGAAUCCUAGUAGCUGACCUAUUUAUACUCACAUGAAUUGGAGGUCAACCAGUUGAAUACCCUUUAUUAUCAUGGGACAGACCGCAUCUAUUAAAUAUUUCUCCGUCAUCCUCAUCCUGUACCACUCACUACCCUUACUAAUUGUAAAGGCAGUUAUAAUUGUUCUGUAAACUACUCUUUUCAUUUCCCUUCUUGCCUCACCAAUCCAAAGAUUGGUGCUUCCUAAGGUGUACUUUUGAUCUUGUCAUUCACCUGCUCAAAAUAUCACAGUUUCUAAAUGCCCAACCUAUAGGCAUGCGUCCAAGAUCAUCUGUUCUUAGUCCACGACUUGUCUUUCUAUUUCUAGUUUACUAUACAGUCUUUGAGUUAUACUCCAGCAAUUUCAGAAUAUAUCUUGCAUGGUCCCACGUCCAUAAAUUUCUUCACUUGAAAUUUUCUACAUGUCCAUAAUGGUUUUGCUGAU